Long non-coding RNA from Oryza brachyantha (malo sina), 896 nucleotides. RefSeq lists it as uncharacterized. The transcript has 2 exons. NCBI's taxonomy places the organism in Eukaryota, Viridiplantae, Streptophyta, Magnoliopsida, Poales, Poaceae. The record is from RefSeq and is a predicted model, not a curated record.
UGGAGGAAGGUUUUAUUUAUAGUGAGCUGGAUACUUGGAGUCUAUUGUCAUGGAGCUGAGGUGGAUAGGCAUUGCAUGGGAGGUGCUGCCCCACCAAUGAUUGCUACUGCUCUGAUCCUAUUGGUGGACUUUGACCUCAUCUGUGCACCCAUAGAUUUUAAUAUUAAUGCAAGUAUCUCAUCAUCAUGUGCUUCUGCCAUCAGAGAUUCAGAGGAGGUAUUAUUAUUAUCAAUAAUAUCAUAUUCCAUACAAAUAUUUGUAUGGCAAAACCCGACCUCAUGGACCUGCAAAUUGGGGAGAACUGUUCUUGCAUCCAGAUAUUUGUGAGUUUAAACCAAGGUGUCACUGAUAAACCCUGGAACAGGAAUGGAUUUGGAUAUGCAUUCCUGACUAAGUACGAUGGGUUGCAUUCAGUGAGGGAGGAUGGGACCAAGCGGCCGACGUGGCGUGCUGUGACUGGCUGGCGAGAUUCCCGUGGGCCCAGGUCACGUGGCAGUGGAUAAGCCCGGUCACCCUGGCCUCUGGUUUGCAGCCGACCGGCCGGCCGGUUUGCCGGUGAGCUGACUCGCCGUGCCCGUGGUUUCUUUGGCCGGAGGAACAGCUGGCUCGCCGCCGUGGUAGGUGACUGGUCAUCUGAUGUCGCUUUGCAUUGGCAGAUGCAUGCUGCGACCGAUUUUCUGUCUGUUUUCUGCCAAGUUGCUUUGCAGAACUUGCAGCCGAUCUUACCCAGUAGCAGCUACUCUUGUUGGAUUUUUGCUGUAGAUUCAGUGCUUGAACACAUGCAGUGAAAGCUACAAUUGGAAGGUGGAAAAACAUGCACCGUGAGAGCAACGAUUUGUGUUAAUUUGACUUCAUUUUUCCUGAGAAGAUCUUUAUUACCGUAGCCUUAUGGGACA